RNAcentral lists this ribosomal RNA (555 nucleotides) under uncultured bacterium. Its description in RNAcentral is "partial 16S ribosomal RNA". It matches the Rfam family "Bacterial small subunit ribosomal RNA", at positions 355 to 902 of the family's 1533-position model. The record is from RNAcentral.
UGGGGAAUUUUGGACAAUGGGGGAAACCCUGAUCCAGCCAUCCCGCGUGUGCGAUGAAGGCCUUCGGGUUGUAAAGCACUUUUGGCAGGAAAGAAACGUCGCGGGUUAAAUACCCCGCGAAACUGACGGUACCUGCAGAAUAAGCACCGGCUAACUACGUGCCAGCAGCCGCGGUAAUACGUAGGGUGCAAGCGUUAAUCGGAAUUACUGGGCGUAAAGCGUGCGCAGGCGGUUCGGAAAGAAAGAUGUGAAAUCCCAGAGCUUAACUUUGGAACUGCAUUUUUAACUACCGGGCUAGAGUGUGUCAGAGGGAGGUGGAAUUCCGCGUGUAGCAGUGAAAUGCGUAGAUAUGCGGAGGAACACCGAUGGCGAAGGCAGCCUCCUGGGAUAACACUGACGCUCAUGCACGAAAGCGUGGGGAGCAAACAGGAUUAGAUACCCUGGUAGUCCACGCCCUAAACGAUGUCAACUAGCUGUUGGGGCCUUCGGGCCUUGGUAGCGCAGCUAACGCGUGAAGUUGACCGCCUGGGGAGUACGGUCGCAAGAUUAAAACUU